This 1627-nucleotide long non-coding RNA is filed under the name Lactuca sativa (garden lettuce). Its description in RNAcentral is "long non-coding RNA (LSAT_LNC005323)". Lineage: Eukaryota; Viridiplantae; Streptophyta; Magnoliopsida; Asterales; Asteraceae. The record is from RNAcentral.
AAAGACGCGUUACGUGUCGCCGCUAUUGCUGGCUGUCGCCGCUAAAGGCGUCGCCGCUAAUGCUUUCAUUUAGCGAUCCGCGUCAUUUUCACCCCAGCCGUCCGAUUUGUUUUCAAUCUAACGGUUGUUAAGGAAAGCGGAAAGGCGCGCUGAGUUUUCCCUCCGUGUGUCGCCGCUAAUGCCCUAAUGUCGCCGCUAUUGCCCUACGUCGCCGCUAAUAGCCGUCGCCGCUAAUGCUAAACGCAUAUACCCUUCACAGUUUACCUUUCUGCCAUUCACAGCUGAUACUUCUCUCUCGUUUUUUCUUCAAUAUCUCGCAGUUUUUCAACUUGGUGGACGCAUUGCUUCUUGGACCGGUGCUAGCUAGCUUCUCCUUCCCUCAAGGCAGCCACAAUACCGCCACAACCCCAACCAAGGUCGACAUUUAGCCAAAAUUCCGAAAUUGCCCCCAACCAAGGUCAAAAUUCUCAUCUUCUUUAUGAUUUUUCUGUUUUAGAUGAUAAAUAGUGAGUAUUUUUCAAGUUUGUUGAGUGAUUAUGUUUGUAUUUUGAUAUAUGAAUUGGUUAUGCAUUUUGUUGGAUUGUAUGUAUUUUGUUGGUUAUGCAUUUUGUUGGAUUGUUGAAUUAUUAUGUGUGUUUUGUUCACAUUUGUGGGAAUUUUGUUGGAUUGUAUGUAUUUUGUUGAAAUUUAUGUUUAGAUUACAUUGAAGUUAUACCACAUUGCCUUAACAUGAAACUUAGAUGUAUAUAUUUGUAUGAAAUUGGAAUAUGCAAAUUGGAUUAAAUUGGAAUAUGCAAAUUGUAUGAAAUUGAAUAUAUACAUUUGGCUUAAUUGUAUGAAAUUGGAUGAAAUUGAAAUAUGCAUUUAGCUUAAUUAGGUUAUUGAAAUAUGAAAUUGGAUGUAUACAUUUAGCUUAAUUAGGCUAUUAAUAGCAACUUACUUCUAGUAAUGUAUUGUAUAUGGUUUGAAAGUGCUUAAUUUUGUUAGUGACUUAAUGUUUGACCAACUUAAUAGCAACAUACUUUUAGUGACUUAAUGUUGGUCAUUACAACUUUAGCUUUAAUUAGGUUAUUAAUAGCAAUGUAUUUCUAGUAAUUUUAAUUUAAAUAGAAUAAAAUUAAAUUAAUUUAAAAAAACAUUAAAAAAUAAUAAAUUAAUUGUAAAAUCAACUUAAUGUUUUCCCUCCGUGUGUCGCCGCUAAUGCCCUAAUGUCGCCGCUAUUGCCCUACGUCGCCGCUAAUAGCCGUCGCCGCUAAUGCUAAACGCAUAUACCCUUCACAGUUUACCUAUCUGCCAUUCACAGCUUACACAUAACUCUUUCUCUCUCGUUUUUUCUUCAAUAUCUCGCAAUUUUUCAACUUGGUGGACGCAUUGCUUCUUGGACCGGUGCUAGCUAGCUUCUCCUUCCCUCAAGGCAGCCACAAUACCGCCACAACCCCAACCAAGGUCGACAUUUAGCCAAAAUUCCGAAAUUGCCCCCAACCAAGGUCAAAAUUCUCAUCUUCUUUAUGAUUUUUCUGUUUUAGAUGAUAAAUAGUGAGUAUUUUUCAAGUUUGUUGAGUGAUUAUGUUUGUAUUUUGAUAUAUGAAUUGGUUAUGCAUUUUGUUGGAUUGUAUGUAUUUUGUUG